RNAcentral lists this unclassified non-coding RNA (1998 nucleotides) under Leishmania donovani. RNAcentral's name for it is "gene:LdHU3.25.2260(CDS-product:mitochondrial_RNA_ binding_complex_1_subunit_putative)". The record is from RNAcentral. Lineage: Eukaryota; Euglenozoa; Kinetoplastea; Trypanosomatida; Trypanosomatidae.
UGUGCUUGAGGUGACUUGAGUUUGUUUGGCCCCCUCUUGCUUGUUUGUUUGGCUUUCCUUCGCCUCUCUUGCGGCAGUUUGGUGGCUGAGGUUGUUGUGUGCCCCUGUCUGCGUGUAAGUGUGUGUGUGUGUGUGUGUGUGUGUGUGUGUGUGUGUCACCGCUUCGUCCCGCCUCUCAAGUCACGUGAGGGUCGUUGUCGUCUCUGCCCUUUGGUUGAUGUUCAACAGUGUUCUAGUACGCGCCCUGCCGUGCCCCCUCCCCACUCUACUCCGCGACUCUUGCUCGACCACAUACUAUCCUAGUGGACACCGUGGCUUGGCUGUGUACGUCAACAAUACAGAGAGUCGAAUAGGCACACUCACAUACAAGAAGAGUAGACAGGCACGCCCACACACACGCCCGCACGCCGAUAGAUAGGCAACGACUAGCUGCAGACUCAACUGCAAAGAGAGCAUGAGCAUGCGAUUCAUUUCGAUCCUGUCACGCGGCGGGUUCAGCAGCGGUGGACCAGCCGCCGCCGCUAUGGCGGUCGCUGCAGGCGCGCCGGCAUCAGCAACGAUAGGCUACUCAGCUUGUGCGAUGCGCUGGCAGUCCUCGCGGCCCUACAGCCGCUCCUCUGGUGGUGGUAGAGGAAGCGGCACUAGCUCUGAGCCGCUCGCGGGUUCUCGCGGCACCGGCAGCUUCGGCAGCCCGCGAGCGUCGCCCGGCCCUGUCCCAGCCGCGGUGAUGAACAGCACGGGCGACGGCGAGCUGAGCGCUGAAACCCGCGCCGCCCUCCGUGACGACUCCAUUGUGAUGACAGAGGUGGUAAAGCACAUACCGCCCAAGGGAGCUAUCUCCAUCAAGUCCCUCUUCUCUGCCAUCGACGAGAACAUACAAGAGGCGCUCAGCGAGCGGCACGGUGGGCUGCGAAGCUUCCUCGAACAGCGCAAGCAGUUCUUUGUUCUACACACCAACCCCGAGGACGGCGUCCUCUACGUGAUUGGCAACCCCAUCGUCAUGCAGCAGUAUGCCACACGCGAUGCGCAGCGCAAAACAAUGCGACGGAUGAUGGGGCUCGACGACGCCGACCGCCAGCAGCAGCAGCGUCGUCCGGGAGGCGGCUUUGGGAGCAACCGCGGACGUGGUGGCCGUGGUGGUGGCGUUCGCCGGCAUCAGAGCUCCCCAUCGCCCUCAGGGCCUUCACGGUCUCCGCCGCAGCAGUACCGCAACGAAGGUGGCAACGGAUACUAUGGAGGAGGAGAUGGGCGCCGCGGUCCCCCACCGCAGCGCGCUGAUCGCCGCGGAUACGGCAGCAACAACGGAAGUCACGGAGGCGGUGAUGGUGCACCCCGUCGAGGCGGCCCGAUGGGUAGUCGCAAUCAGUCCUUCGGCACUCGUUAGAUGAAGCAUCCCUUGUUUAGUCCUACAUUCACCUGUGCGCGCGCGUCUCGGUGGGUGGGGUGAGCGGGUGCUUCUGUUGGUGGUUCACCUUCUGCGAGCCGCUCGAGCCACCCUACUUCGCCUCUUGUGUUUUCUUUGCUUUUUCGUUGUCUUACCUUAUGCUUCGAAGCGCGUGCUCCUUCAUCACCUCGACAGCUGCUUCCCUCCACCAGCCUCCUCCCCCACCCCUUCUCCCUCAACAUCGCAAUACACAUGCACACGAGCACGCACACACGCACACAUACACACUCCCGUCUUCGCACACCUCCGGCGGUGCAGUUGCCGAGCUCUAUGAUGGUGGGCUUGCUUCCGUGUUGAUCACUUUGUGUGUGUGUGUGUGUGCGUCUGUGGGAGUGUACGUUUUUUUUUCUGCAUACGUUAUCGGUCCAUCUCAAUAUGCGGUUGCAGCCGUGCCUGCCUCCUUCAUAUGAUUACCUGUGGUGUGUGCGUGAGACGGUGAGUCUGUCUCUGUCUCUCUCUCUCUCUGCGCCUGUGUAUGUGGCGUGUGUGUGUGUGUGUCCGUGUGCCUCGACACCCUUUGUGGCGUCCCCACGCCUGCCGUCUAGAUAAGAACG